Molecule: ribosomal RNA, 468 nt
Filed under: uncultured bacterium
Lineage: Bacteria
Description: partial 16S ribosomal RNA
Rfam family: Bacterial small subunit ribosomal RNA
Source: RNAcentral
GACGAACGCUGGCGGCGUGCUUAAUACAUGCAAGUCGAACGGAAAGGCCCUGCGUUUGUUUGUUUCUCGAUUGGCGAACGGGGGAGUAUCACGUGAGUAUCCUCCACUUAUCUGUGUGGUAACUUCAGGAAACUGCGGCUAUUACCGGGGAUGAGCUCCUGCACCAUGGUGUUGGUUGGUGAGUGUCGGCGGUUGUGGCUGGACUCGCGGGUUAUCAGCUUCAUAGGGGGGUAGUGACUUUCCAAGGCUUUGACGGGUAGGCGGCCUGAGAGCGUGACCGGCCACAUUGGUACUGCGAGACGGACCAGUAGGCUACGGGAGGCAGCAGUGGGGAAUAUUGCACAAUGGGCGGACGCGUGAUGCAGAAACGUCGCGUGCGGGAUGACGGCUUUCGGGUUGUGAACAGCUUUCGCCGGUGACGAAGCGUGAGUGACGGUAAUGAGUAAAGAAGCACCGGCUAACUACGUG